UUUAGGGUCACACAGAACCUUUUUCUUUUCCCUUUAUUAUUUAUUUUUAUUUUUUAAUCGGAUAACGAAACCGGACGGAUUGAACAAAAUAAUGCUCUCUCUCAAAGAGAGAAAGAAAGAGCAAAUCAGAAGAGUCGCCACCGAAUUUUAUUUAAUUUACUUGUAAGAGAGGAGAGGGAAAAUAGUCGAUAAAACUUUCAAAAGAAAAAAAGAAAAGGAUAGGGAAUCGGUCUCGC
Molecule: long non-coding RNA, 236 nt
Filed under: Lathyrus oleraceus (garden pea)
Lineage: Eukaryota; Viridiplantae; Streptophyta; Magnoliopsida; Fabales; Fabaceae
Description: Pisum sativum (pea) long non-coding RNA (PSAT_LNC007209)
Source: RNAcentral